CCUCCUUUCUCAUGUUAGCAGCUCUACAACGUUAAAUUUAGUUUUUCCUUUUAAGUUUCUUUUUAAAAUGCAAACUUCACAUAAACAGUCUAGCCCUAAACUGGGCUGCUAUCGGGCAGGAAAGGAAAUGGAAAAAGCAGCUGACAUGUUGUUUGGGCUUUGGGGCGGGGAGGCUGAUAGCCCCUAGACAGAUAGACCAAGAGUUGCUUUCUCACCCUUCCUGUCCGCGAUGCUGCAGCAGAACUAUGGGGCUGCAUUUUUAAGGCACCUUCUGAAAACCUCCCAUCACCUUUGUUUGCACAGAGAAGCAGGUCAGCGAUGAGACUGCCUUUUCUGCCGAGCUCCAUGGCAAAGGUGUGGCUGCAAUGAUGCAUCCUGUUGACCGAAGCUAGUGAUGCCCCCCCUUUGUCUUUUGGGGGCACUUUUUGCUCUUCCUCUAUGGUCACUAAUGUAGACGAACACGACUCAAAGUUCAGAGAACCUGUGAAGUAGACACUUCAUUUUGUUCAGGUUUCCUCUAGUGGGAGGAACUGGCUUCUCUUCAAUCUCUUGAAUAAAGCUGGUAUAAACGUAGAACUGAUUCUCAUAUUGCGAUCCAUUCCUCAUUUACUGAAUUAAUCACGCAAGUCAUCAAGAAAAAACCUUUGAAAUGGAUUGGUUUUUGUCUUCUGAAUUCAUCAACUUAUUCCUGGGUUUACAAUCUUGUAUAAUGUCACAGCUUCUGGGAAGCUAUACUGCCAGCAAAUGAAGAUCUUGACUAAAGAUGGGGAAUAUACAUAUUUCUACAUUUAUUUUUCCUUUAUUUACAUACCCAGUGUGUACAUCAAAAUGAUGCAUAAACAUGAAUAAUGGAUGAAUUAAGAAUGCUUAGCAAUUAUUUUUAACAGUUAAAGAAAGAAAUGAGAAAGUAUUUUACAUCACAGAUUUGUAUGUAAGCAUCAUGUGCUACCAUUCAACAAGACCUAGACAGACUGGAGAGUUGGGCAUUUAACAAGAGCAAGUGUAGAGUCUUGCACCUGGGGAGGAAUAACUGCAUGGAUCAGUACAGGUUAAGGGAUGACCUGCGGGAGAGGAGCUCUGUAGACAAGGAUCUGAGAACCCUUCUGAACACCAACCUAUGCAACCUACUGUAGGGUGCCUGCCUGCUUUAGCAGGGAGUUGGAUUUAAUGACCUCUUGAGGUCCCUUCCAACCCCUGCAACUCUGUGAUUCUGUGAAUAUUUAAAAAGGUAUGUAAUUUAUCUAGGUACGUAUACAAAAUUCUGAAUACAUUAUAGCAAAAGCUUUAUUUACCUCGGAGAUAAAACACUUUCCCUUUUCAAUUGUUUUUAUUUGCUUCUCUUUGUAAAAAAUCAGAAGAUGUUUUUAAAGUCUUGUUCUAUCCACACAGGAGUUAUGUUUAUCUGCCAAUGAUUAUUCUCCUCAAACGCAAAAGUCUAGAAUCAAAUGUCCUAAAUGUGGCUGCCACUUUUUUUAUCCUGUAUAAUUUGAUUUUUUAACAGCUAAAAAAAAUCAGGGCACUGCAGACAGGGUACUUAAUAUGAUUUAGACUCUUUCCAUGUAUGCUGUAUGAAAUCACUGUAUGAAAUCCACGCCUGCUGGAUUUAUGACUCACAAAUCAAACGCAGAUGCAAUAUUCAGAGUCAGGAUCUGGAUGACUCUGGAUGAGUAGAAGAAAACAUGUCUGAAAAUAUUUUGCAGUCAUUGUGACCCAUAAGAGUUAUAGUAAGUGUCCUACUCCUUGUCAUGGGCCUGCAUGUGAGUUAUGAUACGUCCACGUCAAGAACAACAAACAAAAAAAAAACCCUAAGUAUGGAAACUCAAAAAAAAAAUUGUCAUUUGACUUUUGGUCUACAAAAAUCUGUGGAGCCACAGAGGACUACAGAAUGCGGUGAUCCCCAAAGGCCAUUCCUGAGUAUGUUCCCUGGCCAGGCACCACCACCUCUAGCUGCUCGUAGCUGCUCUUCCUGGUUCUGGUUAUUUCCUGAAAUCACUGGAAACAGAACAUAAUUUUCUAAUAAGCUUACUAGCUAAUUAUGCUGCUAUGUUCUAGUCUCCAUCUCCAUUUCCAUUUUUACCUAUUCUAGGGAAAAAAUAUAUAUAUACAUAUAAACACACACAUAUAUAUGAAAUAAUUUUAUGCCAGUAGUCUAAAUAAAUGCUUUUGUUUUAAAUAAAUUUAAAUCAACAGCAUCUUGUCUUGAAAGCUAAUAACUGCAAGAAAGCACAGAGAAUGUAAGUCUUAGUUCAGAAAAACAGUCACUAUUAUACCUGCUGUUAUUUUACUAGAAUUUAUAAAUGGGUAAUUUUUAUUAUUAUUUUCAAGAAUGUCCUAUGAAACAGAGUCCUUUAAAUAUUCCUAUAUUUCUGGUCCUAGAAUGAGUAAUGACUGAGCUCACAACUGCCUGGAAAUGCCUUCAGUCAAUCAGAAGCACAAAUAAAUCCAUGCCAUAGGACUGAAGGAUUGGACGGACCAAUGAAUAUUUGCACGUGCAUACAAAAAUCCCACAUGAGCAUUUCAGAAGUAAGUCUGAGGCUAAAACUAGCUCAUGCUCAUGCUCUCCAUUAAAUAACUUAAAACAUGCACUUACAAAAUCCCAAAAGUUGAAUUAAUUUCUAUUAUUGUUUGCUCGUUUCGCCUCUCCAAAAGGCCGGCUGCUGCUUCCUGUGUUACACAGGUCUCUACUGCCAUCCCCUGCUUAUUUGUAAAACUGCUUUUAUUCCUGGAAUCGUUGGAGCUGAUCACUGCCAGGACUUGAGCUGAAGAAAAGACCUUCUGUGAGCUUCUCUAGAGAAAUGCUUUUUAUUUUGUCAAAAUUAAGAGAUCACGCACAUCUUUUGUCUUGGC
This is a long non-coding RNA of Gallus gallus (chicken), 2847 nucleotides long. The record is from Ensembl. NCBI's taxonomy places the organism in Eukaryota, Metazoa, Chordata, Aves, Galliformes, Phasianidae.